RNAcentral lists this ribosomal RNA (497 nucleotides) under uncultured bacterium. RNAcentral describes it as "partial 16S ribosomal RNA". It matches the Rfam family "Bacterial small subunit ribosomal RNA", at positions 28 to 507 of the family's 1533-position model. The record is from RNAcentral.
GAUGAACGCUGGCGGCGUGCCUAAUACAUGCAAGUCGAGCGAACAGACGAGGAGCUUGCUCCUUUGACGUUAGCGGCGGACGGGUGAGUAACACGUGGAUAACCUACCUAUAAGACUGGGAUAACUUCGGGAAACCGGGGCUAAUACCGGAUAACAUGUUGAACCGCAUGGUUCAACAGUGAAAGACGGUCUUGCUGUCACUUAUAGAUGGAUCCGCGCCGCAUUAGCUAGUUGGUAAGGUAACGGCUUACCAAGGCAACGAUGCGUAGCCGACCUGAGAGGGUGAUCGGCCACACUGGAACUGAGACACGGUCCAGACUCCUACGGGAGGCAGCAGUAGGGAAUCUUCCGCAAUGGGCGAAAGCCUGACGGAGCAACGCCGCGUGAGUGAAGAAGGUCUUCGGAUCGUAAAACUCUGUUAUUAGGGAAGAACAAAUGUGUAAGUAACUAUGCACGUCUUGACGGUACCUAAUCAGAAAGCCACGGCUAACUACGUG